RNAcentral lists this transfer RNA (69 nucleotides) under Ailuroedus buccoides (White-eared catbird). RNAcentral's name for it is "tRNA-Phe". It matches the Rfam family "tRNA". Rfam says of the family: Transfer RNA (tRNA) molecules are approximately 80 nucleotides in length. Their secondary structure includes four short double-helical elements and three loops (D, anti-codon, and T loops). Further hydrogen bonds mediate the characteristic L-shaped molecular structure. tRNAs have two regions of fundamental functional importance: the anti-codon, which is responsible for specific mRNA codon recognition, and the 3' end, to which the tRNAs corresponding amino acid is attached (by aminoacyl-tRNA synthetases). tRNAs cope with the degeneracy of the genetic code in two manners: having more than one tRNA (with a specific anti-codon) for a particular amino acid; and 'wobble' base-pairing, i.e. permitting non-standard base-pairing at the 3rd anti-codon position. Lineage: Eukaryota; Metazoa; Chordata; Aves; Passeriformes; Ptilonorhynchidae. The record is from RNAcentral.
GUCCCUGUAGCUUACGACAAAGCAUGACACUGAAGAUGUCAAGACGGCUGAUCAGAACACCCAAGGACA